AUAAAAGAAGGAUCCAGUGGGGUAUGGAAGGGCUCUACCUGGUCCAGGGAAUGCAUUGGUGAGGGCAGAAGUCUGUUUCAAUGGCAGCAGGAGGUGGGAGACUGUCCCAGUCUCUGUGGCAUCUGAAGCCUCACCUUUGGAUAUCCUGGUCACUCUUCAAUACCACUGAUGAAUUGCCCACCUGGAGAAGUAUUCAAAAAGCAAAGGAAGAAGAUUGAAGGAGCUCUUGCCUUGAGGAACUUGACAGCCCAGCAGGGGAGAAGACCCACCCAUUCCCAUACUAAAAGGAAGAGUUUCUAUAGGAACCUGAAGAGGGAUCUCCAGAAACACAAAGAUUGCCAAAAAUCCAACAGUUUGAAAAUAGCUUGCAGGACCUUCUGAUGCAUCUUAAAAAGAGUAAAUGGCUAGAUGGUCAUGUAACACAGUUUUGGUCAAUGAAAUAUGAGAUCUACUGGAUUGUCCUUCCUUUUUUCAACCAUCUUGAAUGAGAGCAAGAGCAACAGCAGCCCUUUGCAGCCAUGAGAUGAUAAACAUAACAGAAAGGACAUGAGAAUCACAGAGAUGGUGGUCCCUACAUCUUUAAGCCAACGCACCACAUGCCUCCAGACUUCUUGUUAUGAAGAUACGUGUCCCAGCUGCCUCAGCCUCACAAAGGAAUUGUGGCACCUUGCUAUCUCCAUUUUCCUGGUGACGAAAUUAAGGGCAAGAACGAAAA
Long non-coding RNA from Mustela erminea (ermine), 715 nucleotides. RefSeq lists it as uncharacterized. Lineage: Eukaryota; Metazoa; Chordata; Mammalia; Carnivora; Mustelidae. The transcript is spliced from 6 exons. The record is from RefSeq and is a predicted model, not a curated record.